This 378-nucleotide ribosomal RNA is filed under the name uncultured bacterium. RNAcentral's name for it is "bacterial SSU rRNA". It matches the Rfam family "Bacterial small subunit ribosomal RNA", at positions 527 to 912 of the family's 1533-position model. The record is from RNAcentral.
GUAGGGGGCAAGCGUUAUCCGGAAUUAUUGGGCGUAAAGGGUGCGUAGGCGGGUUAUCAAGUCUUUGGUUAAAAUGCGGUGCUCAACGCCGUAGUGCCAAAGAAACUGAUAGUCUAGAGUAUGGUAGAAGUGAGUGGAACUCCAUGUGUAGCGGUAAAAUGCGUAAAUAUAUGGAAGAACACCAGUGGCGAAGGCGGCUCACUAGGCCAAUACUGACGCUGAGACACGAAAGCGUGGGGAGCAAACAGGAUUAGAUACCCUGGUAGUCCACGCCCUAAACGAUGAGUACUAAGUGUAGCCAGAAGGCUGUGCUGAAGUUAACGCAUUAAGUACUCCGCCUGAGUAGUACGUACGCAAGUAUGAAACUCAAAGGAAUUG